GGAGUUAGGAAAUGUAAAGGUGUUAAUAGCGCCUUUAUUUGACGAAGGCUCCAGAGGAAGCCACGGCUAACUCUGUGCCAGCAGCCGCGGUAAUACAGAGGUGGCAAGCGUUGUUCGGAAUUAUUGGGCGUAAAGAGCACGUAGGCGGUCCUGCAAGUCUGUUGUGAAACCCUUCCGCUUAACGGGAGAACGGCAGCUGAUACUACAGAACUAGAGUACGGGAGGGGAGAGUG
RNAcentral lists this ribosomal RNA (233 nucleotides) under uncultured Planctomycetales bacterium. RNAcentral's name for it is "partial 16S ribosomal RNA". It matches the Rfam family "Bacterial small subunit ribosomal RNA", at positions 439 to 663 of the family's 1533-position model. Lineage: Bacteria; Pseudomonadati; Planctomycetota; Planctomycetia; Planctomycetales. The record is from RNAcentral.